UGGUAAACAAAGCUUAUAACAAGUUACUUGGCAGAAGAGAAAAUACAUUGAACCGCUCAGGUCUUGAUUGCAAAUUGCUUAUGCAGUUUGUAGCAGGAGCGAAGGGGAAUUCUUUUCGGACAUUUAAUUCUGCGAAUAAUAAUAAUGGAUUCGAAGAAAUUGAUCGUACCGUGUUUGAUCUUUGCGAUCAUUGUCCUCGCUGUUGGCAAUGUUUUGCAAAUUUUGUAUUCAAAGAAUAUCGAACUGAGACUGGAAAACCAUUUGGAAAAAUUUGCUAAAUUCGAAGUCAGCUGUAAGGAUAUUCUCGCCAAGCUAUUAAGAGACAAGGAUAUUCUCGCCAAGCAUAAGGGUGAAGCAUUUUCAUCAGUUGGCAGAAAUCUCCACAAUACCAAAGAUCACAAGAGCCUGCAAAAUAACAAACAUGAAGGGUUCGAAGUUCGCAAGCCCCGCAAAUUGUCGUUAUCGAAUGUACUCCAUGAAGAACUGAACCAGAAAGUAUCAUUACCAAAAGGUCCUCCGGAUGUUGCUGUUGCAAACAAUGGGAUUAUCUUUCCUCAACUCAAAGGAACUACUGAUCCUGUUUAUGGUAAUGAUGAGAACAAGGAAGAUCAUAACAUUGUAAAAAGGGCAGCAUCAAAGAACAGAAAUGGUUGCAAAAGGAAAAAACGCUGUAAAAGAAUGCAGAAAGGUGAAAGGGGGCCGAAGGGUGAAAUGGGGGAUCCUGGAGUCAGAGGAAAAGCAGGUCCACAAGGAAACGUUGGCCCACGAGGUCCAAAUGGAGAGAAAGGUGACCGAGGUGCUAGCGGUAAAAUAGGUGGCAAAGGAGAAAAAGGUGACAAGGGUGAAAAAGGUGAUAGCGGAAAAUCCCCGACGUCUGAACUGAUUCACCUGGUCGGAGUUGGAGUAGCUGGCAGUCCGACACUAGAUUUGACAACUGCAAAAACAAAAGAAGAUGCUAGAUUCAAGAUUUGGAAGACGGAAGCUCAUCAUGGAGAAAUACGAUACGAUAAUGGAUACAUAAAAAUCAGGGUCACUGGAUAUUACUAUGUUUAUUGUCAGAUGUACUACGAGUCCAAGGGGAAAAUUGGUCAACACCUGGUAAUGAGCAAUAAUAACGCUCUUAUGAUGGGCCUCACGACAUGGACAGCUCCCAGGCAUGAUAAAUCAACGAAGUAUGUCGGUGGCGUUUUCAGGCUGCUCAGUGGUGAUAGAGUAUGGGUUACAAGAUGGCCCUUCCUCAGGCAGUCUUAUAUAGUUAAGUCAGAUGGCUCUUAUUUUGGCGUUUAUUUACUGCAACAAAUCUAAACCACGUGUUGCCAUAUUCAAAUACAAAAGGCUAUUUGUAGUUGAUGCCAAAAGUGAUUGAUAAUAUUUUCUGAUUAAACAAGAUAAUACUCUUCUAAUUCAAUGAUAUCAUGAUUGAUAGUAUACUUUUGUUAUAAAAUUGGAAGAGAAAUAUACAGUGAUCCUCUACUGCGUAGUGUGUGAUUUAGAGAACUUGGCAUGGCAAUUGUAAUGAUGCAUCGCUUGCUACCUAUCGUCUGUUUCAAGCUCUUGAUGCAAGUGCAGACUGAAAAGGCUGUUUCAUCUGCUUUGAAUUAGUGAAUAUACUUUCUAACAGAAAGCCUGCUACGCGGGCUGACCAAAUCGCGUAUUAGCCUUGGAAAGGCAAGAACAAUGCUAACAUUAUUGUCGCACUCCUACGCAAGAUAUACUCGCAAACCUGUGAAAGUCGCUAGGAAGGGGGAGCCUUAAGCAUUUUUCCCCCUAAGGCUCCCCCUUGUAAUUAUUUUUUAUAGUAAAUUUUUUAAUUUUCUGUGUUGAAAAUGAACAGAUCAAUCAUUAUGUAGUUCUUGGUAAUUGAAAUGUUUAAAACUGCUGGAUUUUGAUAUUGUGGAAACUAAGACGAGUAAUGUAAUUAAUUUUGUUGCAAUUUUAUACAUAAGGAGUAGUGACACUGUUCAGGUAAAUAUUUGCUACAAAUUAGCCCAGUGUCAAACAAUUACUCUGAUGCGUUAAAUUCUUCAAGUUCUGACGUUAUAAUUGUGUAAGUUGUCUUACUGCUGAAUUUAACAUCAAUAGCGUAUCUCCGAAAUUCUGCCUUUUUCUGGCCAUUUUCUGACGCAAAAUAGGGGACAAGAAUUUUCUGACCCUUAUCAGGGAAGAGACAGAACGGAUCCUGCCCGAGUCGCUCAAAAAAUUGCUUACAGAAUCUUCUAAAGUUGCCAAAAGGCUGCUCAUCUUCGAGGGGCAAAUCACUGAAUACAUAUCGUACACUUUGCUGAAAAGCAAGUAAAAGUCUUAACAAUAUCUCAAAAAUUCCUUAUAAAUGUCAAAAAUACACAGAAAGUUUGAAAAAUCUGUAGAAUCGUUUUUAAAAUCUAAAGAAAUCUUCGAAAAAUCUCUAAAUCGUUGAAAGCUCAAAUUCCUUAAAGAUCUUAUAAUAUGGGUAAAGGAUCGAAUAGCAGUGAAAUUACAUUGAGUUUUUUUUAAAAAAGGGUUGUUAAAUCCCCUUGCUCCACCGUUAGGUCAAUAUUGCCCAUAAUGAAUUUUCUUAGAUGCUUCAGGUAAGCAAUCCUCAUUGUGCAGGGCCGUCGGAAGGUCUUACGGUGGAGGGGGCAACGCAAAAAGGGCACUUAUCAAUUUUAAAACUUCAAAAUAACUAAAAUUUAAGCAAAAAAGGAAAAAUAUAUUGAAUGGUCUGCGUGUUGCUACAGAAAUCUUAGAGGAAUGUAGUUUUUAAAAGCUUUGCUGUUAAAUACACAAAAUGUAUUUCGACGCUUUCCUGCAGAAUUCAAUUGCAACGUCAAGAAGACAAAGUUAGCGAUAUUCUUCUCUGUUUGUAUUCAAGAUCAUGGUGUGAUUAUGUAAUUCUUGGAUAAUCGUUGCUCGAAUAUAUGUUUUUAUUCUUCUCAAAGUCGAGCAAAAACUUCCACUAAUGGCAUUUGUAGCAGGUACAACAAAAAGGAACUUGGCUAAAGUUACAAUUUUCUGGAAAAUAAUUGUGAGGCAGCGACAAGGCACGAAGAUGUUUUGCAUUUUAUUUUAUUUCAUUUAAUUUCAUUUCAAAUGUAUUUUCAGCAUUAGCUUAUGUGCAUAGCAACAAAAAAUGCACGAAGCUUAAUUGGGUAUAAUUACAAUAAGGUUACAGAAAAAUGCGCAUCAAUAAAUUUCAGAUUAACAAUGCUGAAGAGGAUAUACAAAAAUAACUCCUCAGAGUUUUCGAGCUGCAUGCCCUUGGUAAGAUGUGGUUGCUAAAAUAAGAUUGAAAUAUACUAAUCGAAGAGGCAUAUGCAUAUUAAUGAACAAAGUAUAAAUUUUUUAAUAAAUCACAAUAAAAAAGAAAAAAAACAUGAAGUGUGGGCAGAGGAAAGAGUAGAAAGAAUUGAAGUAAAAACAGAAAGAUUAGUAGAGGUGUUACCGAAUAGGUCUGUAGUCUUGAAAUAAAAAUUUCUUACGAUGCUUACAGAAAGACUUUCUUGUUCUGGAUUUCUAAUGUAAGGAGGGAUGUCAUUCCAUGUUAUUAACUCCUAGAUUUGUAACAAAGUUACUUUUGAAAUGUUUUUUAGCUUUUUAGAAAAAAGAAGUUUCCAUGUGCUGAUUCCCGGGGUUUUGUAGGAAUCUGUACAGUCUAAUUGUUGAAAGGCAAAUGUUGAAAGGAAUUUAUGAGACAAAUUUAUAAUGUGAGGAGCAAUAAAUGCAUUGUUUGUAUUGAGAAGGACACUACUGGGUGUGAUAUAUCUCAGUUUAUCUAGGAUGGCUAGGCUUAAGCUAUUUCAUUAUCGAAUCCAAGUUAGAUUUUUGUCACACCAGGUAUUGGAUACUGUUGGCUUCGCGUAACUUAUCAUUGUUUAUCUCUAAGUUGAUUCUUUUAGGUAGUGCGCCUUUUUGCUGUACGCCUUUUGAAUUUUCCAAAAAAAAGAUAAAAAGCAUCUAUGCUAAUACUUUCGUUGUUAAAUUGGCAACAUAAGAGCAUUUCCAAGCAGACAAACAUGAAUAUUUUGGCGUAAGAGAAAUGCUUCUAUAAAAUAUUUUACGCCAACAAAAGUUUACACCAAAAAAUAGGGACUUUACGCAGCCAGACCGAUAACGGUAACGAUAACCUUAGUGCGUCAUCGCCCUAUUGUUUUUGGAGGGACGCCUACGCUUUUGCAUAUUUGGCAUUUUUUUGCGGGGAGGCCUCUUCCGUUCCCGUCCUGCCCUAUUGUUCCUACAACCUUAGUUCACCCUGGUUAGCGUUCUGGCAAAACGUUAGAAAAUUUGUCUAGUCAUUUUACGUUUGUUCAAUUUUUCUCCAACUUUUCGUUAAAAAUGGCGUCUAUAUCAGCUGCUGUCAAGACACAAAGCAAAAGAUUCAAAUGGUCGAAGGAGCAUGACAUUUUGAUGUUGCGAGAUGUAAACGCUUCUGAAAUUUGGAUGACAAAGCCAGGGAGUAUGGAAAGAGGAGAUGGUUGGAAGCAAAUAGCUGACAGGCUGAAUAAGAUUGAGUCUCCCAACUUUGAAUGCACAGCACGGUCGGUUAGGGAGAAUUUUCAGACCUUAAUAGAGAAAAGAAAGGUGGUAAACCGGGAAGAAGAGCGAGCUAGCGGUAUUUCGCCAGAAAUAACAGAAGUUGACAUUUUGCUAGAUGAGCUUCUUGAAGUGUUUUCGUCAGCUGCAUUUGAUCAACAGGCAGCAGAGAAGGAAAAGGUAGAUAAGAGAGUAGAAGAUGUGGAGAAGGCAAAAGAACUACGACAGCAGUCAUUGGAAACAUUGGGGGAGACCCGUAAAAGAAGAAAAGAGGAAGCAGGAGAUGGCAAACAAAAAAAGUUAGAAACACGAAGUCGAUUGGCAAUGACACCUUUGCAUUUCUAGAGAAAAAAAUGCGAGAGGAUGCAGAGAUAAAAAGAGAGGAGCUAGAAUUGAAAAAAAGAGAUCGAGGAAAAUGCAAGGCAAAGGGAGUCAAUUAUAGAGGAGCAGAGAGGGAGGGAUGGGGAGGGCUUGGGUGGGAGAAAUUUGGAAAGGAGGUUGGAUUUGAUUGAGCAGCAUUUGCAGCAGCAAAAUCAGAUUAUGUUGCAGAUGCUGCAAAAUCAACAACAUCAUAGUCAAAUGCUAACAGACAUUUUGAGAAGGCUUGAGAAAAAUUAUUAGACAAAUGAUUACUACUGUAAAUUCUACGCGCUAAACUAAAAGCCAUUUUGCUGCUAAAUAUACAAAUUAAAC
Rhopilema esculentum is the source of this 5202-nucleotide non-coding RNA. Lineage: Eukaryota; Metazoa; Cnidaria; Scyphozoa; Rhizostomeae; Rhizostomatidae. The record is from RefSeq and is a predicted model, not a curated record.